RNAcentral lists this ribosomal RNA (1219 nucleotides) under Escherichia coli. Its description in RNAcentral is "partial 23S ribosomal RNA". It matches the Rfam family "Bacterial large subunit ribosomal RNA", at positions 1 to 1251 of the family's 2925-position model. The record is from RNAcentral. Lineage: Bacteria; Pseudomonadati; Pseudomonadota; Gammaproteobacteria; Enterobacterales; Enterobacteriaceae.
GGGUUGUGAGGUUAAGCGACUAAGCGUACACGGUGGAUGCCCUGGCAGUCAGAGGCGAUGAAGGACGUGCUAAUCUGCGAUAAGCGUCGGUAAGGUGAUAUGAACCGUUAUAACCGGCGAUUUCCGAAUGGGGAAACCCAGUGUGAUUCGUCACACUAUCAUUAACUGAAUCCAUAGGUUAAUGAGGCGAACCGGGGGAACUGAAACAUCUAAGUACCCCGAGGAAAAGAAAUCAACCGAGAUUCCCCCAGUAGCGGCGAGCGAACGGGGAGGAGCCCAGAGCCUGAAUCAGUGUGUGUGUUAGUGGAAGCGUCUGGAAAGGCGCGCGAUACAGGGUGACAGCCCCGUACACAAAAAUGCACAUGCUGUGAGCUCGAUGAGUAGGGCGGGACACGUGGUAUCCUGUCUGAAUAUGGGGGGACCAUCCUCCAAGGCUAAAUACUCCUGACUGACCGAUAGUGAACCAGUACCGUGAGGGAAAGGCGAAAAGAACCCCGGCGAGGGGAGUGAAAAAGAACCUGAAACCGUGUACGUACAAGCAGUGGGAGCACGCUUAGGCGUGUGACUGCGUACCUUUUGUAUAAUGGGUCAGCGACUUAUAUUCUGUAGCAAGGUUAACCGAAUAGGGGAGCCGAAGGGAAACCGAGUCUUAACUGGGCGUUAAGUUGCAGGGUAUAGACCCGAAACCCGGUGAUCUAGCCAUGGGCAGGUUGAAGGUUGGGUAACACUAACUGGAGGACCGAACCGACUAAUGUUGAAAAAUUAGCGGAUGACUUGUGGCUGGGGGUGAAAGGCCAAUCAAACCGGGAGAUAGCUGGUUCUCCCCGAAAGCUAUUUAGGUAGCGCCUCGUGAAUUCAUCUCCGGGGGUAGAGCACUGUUUCGGCAAGGGGGUCAUCCCGACUUACCAACCCGAUGCAAACUGCGAAUACCGGAGAAUGUUAUCACGGGAGACACACGGCGGGUGCUAACGUCCGUCGUGAAGAGGGAAACAACCCAGACCGCCAGCUAAGGUCCCAAAGUCAUGGUUAAGUGGGAAACGAUGUGGGAAGGCCCAGACAGCCAGGAUGUUGGCUUAGAAGCAGCCAUCAUUUAAAGAAAGCGUAAUAGCUCACUGGUCGAGUCGGCCUGCGCGGAAGAUGUAACGGGGCUAAACCAUGCACCGAAGCUGCGGCAGCGACGCUGAUGCGUUGUUGGGUAGGGGAGCGUUCUGUAAGCCUG